AUGGAUUGCUUGGCUGCCCUGUUCAACGCCGCGACCGAUUCCGAGGUGCUCAAGCGCAUCGGAACCCAGCGGAUGCCGUUUAGAACUUCUCUAUACACUGAUGAUGCUGUGAUCUUCAUCAACCCUGUGGAUGAAGAAGUGCAGGCAACCAAAAAACUGCUCGACACUUUCGGGAAUGCCACGGGUUUAAGAACCAACUUCAGGAAAAGCUCUGUUACGCCGAUCUGCUGUGGUGACACCUUGCCAGCGGCAAUUCAAGAACUAGGCUGCGACAUCAAGCACUUCCCCUGCACUUAUCUUGGGAUGCCCCUCUCGGACUCGAAACUUCACAGAGUGGAUUUUCAGCCAGCAAUUGACAAACUGAGGAAGAAACUCAAAGGAUGGAUCAUAAUGCAUGUUUCUCUGGAUGGCAGAAUUGUCUUAGUUAAGCAGGUUCUUUCAGCCAUGGUGGUCUAUCAGAUGCUCGUCCUAGAGCUGCCGGUGUGGCUAAGGAAACAAAUUGACAAGUUGCGCCGAGGAUUUCUAUGGGAAGGGAAGGAGUUUGCAAAUGGUGGGAAGUGUUUGGUAAGCUGGAAGGUGGUAUGUCGGCCAACAUGUUUCGGAGGACUAGGAAUCUCAGAUCUUGCAGCACAGAGUACAGCCCUGAGACUACGGUGGAUGUGGAUGCAAUGGACUGACCCAGACAAGGCCUGGAGUGAUUUACCGUUGCCCUCAGAUCCGAAAGUGUUGAACCUCUUUGCGGCAUCAGCUAGAUUCCACCUCGGCAAUGGACAUCGAAUCAGGUUCUGGCUAGACCCAUGGAUGGAUGACUAG
RNAcentral lists this ribosomal RNA (813 nucleotides) under Triticum aestivum (bread wheat). RNAcentral's name for it is "partial small subunit ribosomal RNA". Lineage: Eukaryota; Viridiplantae; Streptophyta; Magnoliopsida; Poales; Poaceae. The record is from RNAcentral.